Molecule: transfer-messenger RNA, 396 nt
Filed under: Acidobacteriota bacterium
Lineage: Bacteria; Pseudomonadati; Acidobacteriota
Description: Acidobacteria bacterium (soil metagenome) transfer-messenger RNA
Rfam family: transfer-messenger RNA
About the family: Bacterial tmRNA, also known as 10Sa RNA or SsrA, is named for its dual tRNA and mRNA-like properties. Its role is to liberate the mRNA from a stalled ribosome.
Source: RNAcentral
GGGGGCGAAAGGUCUCGACAGGGGUCAUGAUCGCCGGACGGAUGCAUGCCGGGCUUACUCUAUGCAGCUCGUUAAAAAGCAGUGAGAAAACCAACUGCCAAUAAUCAAGAAUUGGCCCUUGCUGCCUAAUUAACCUUAGGUUGACGCAAGCGUUUCACCGCAAGUUGCUCAAGCGCGCGGAUUGAAAUGUCACUCAGUUGAGCUGGCCUGCCGUCCGUGCUCAGGGGCGGUGGGCGAGAAAAAUCUGGGCUAGACACCGGCGGGGUCUUCGACGAUUCACUGACCUGCCGGAGUCGAACGCGCCCGAGCAAGACGGGUAGCAGAGAAGCGUCUAAGCAUGUAGAUUCCGACGGCGUCGGCCUUUGGACCCGAGUUCGAUUCUCGGCGCCUCCAUUC